Molecule: ribosomal RNA, 497 nt
Filed under: uncultured bacterium
Lineage: Bacteria
Description: partial 16S ribosomal RNA
Rfam family: Bacterial small subunit ribosomal RNA
Source: RNAcentral
GAUGAACGCUGGCGGCGUGCCUAAUACAUGCAAGUCGAGCGAACAGACGAGGAGCUUGCUCCUUUGACGUUAGCGGCGGACGGGUGAGUAACGCGUGGAUAACCUACCUAUAAGACUGGGAUAACUUCGGGAAACCGGAGCUAAUACCGGAUAACAUGUUGAACCGCAUGGUUCAACAGUGAAAGACGGUCUUGCUGUCACUUAUAGAUGAAUCCGCGCCGCAUUAGCUAGUUGGUAAGGUAACGGCUUACCAAGGCAACGAUGCGUAGCCGACCUGAGAGGGUGAUCGGCCACACUGGAACUGAGACACGGUCCAGACUCCUACGGGAGGCAGCAGUAGGGAAUCUUCCGCAAUGGGCGAAAGCCUGACGGAGCAACGCCGCGUGAGUGAAGAAGGUCUUCGGAUCGUAAAACUCUGUUAUUAGGGAAGAACAAAUGUGUAAGUAACUAUGCACGUCUUGACGGUACCUAAUCAGAAAGCCACGGCUAACUACGUG